This 116-nucleotide ribosomal RNA is filed under the name Pteropus alecto (black flying fox). The record is from RNAcentral. Lineage: Eukaryota; Metazoa; Chordata; Mammalia; Chiroptera; Pteropodidae.
GUCUACGGCCAUGUCACCCUGAACAAGCCCGAUGUCUGAUCUCAGGAGCUAAGCAGGGUCAGGCCUGGUUAGUACUUAGACGGGAGACCACCUAGGAAGACCAGGUGCUGUAGGUA